RNAcentral lists this ribosomal RNA (1372 nucleotides) under uncultured bacterium. RNAcentral describes it as "bacterial SSU rRNA". It matches the Rfam family "Bacterial small subunit ribosomal RNA", at positions 28 to 1381 of the family's 1533-position model. The record is from RNAcentral.
GAUGAACGCUGGCGGCGUGCCUAAUACAUGCAAGUCGAGCGAACGGACGAGAAGCUUGCUUCUCUGAUGUUAGCGGCGGACGGGUGAGUAACACGUGGAUAACCUACCUAUAAGACUGGGAUAACUUCGGGAAACCGGAGCUAAUACCGGAUAAUAUUUUGAACCGCAUGGUUCAAAAGUGAAAGACGGUCUUGCUGUCACUUAUAGAUGGAUCCGCGCUGCAUUAGCUAGUUGGUAAGGUAACGGCUUACCAAGGCAACGAUGCAUAGCCGACCUGAGAGGGUGAUCGGCCACACUGGAACUGAGACACGGUCCAGACUCCUACGGGAGGCAGCAGUAGGGAAUCUUCCGCAAUGGGCGAAAGCUUGACGGAGCAACGCCGCGUGAGUGAUGAAGGUCUUCGGAUCGUAAAACUCUGUUAUUAGGGAAGAACAUAUGUGUAAGUAACUGUGCACAUCUUGACGGUACCUAAUCAGAAAGCCACGGCUAACUACGUGCCAGCAGCCGCGGUAAUACGUAGGUGGCAAGCGUUAUCCGGAAUUAUUGGGCGUAAAGCGCGCGUAGGCGGUUUUUUAAGUCUGAUGUGAAAGCCCACGGCUCAACCGUGGAGGGUCAUUGGAAACUGGAAAACUUGAGUGCAGAAGAGGAAAGUGGAAUUCCAUGUGUAGCGGUGAAAUGCGCAGAGAUAUGGAGGAACACCAGUGGCGAAGGCGACUUUCUGGUCUGUAACUGACGCUGAUGUGCGAAAGCGUGGGGAUCAAACAGGAUUAGAUACCCUGGUAGUCCACGCCGUAAACGAUGAGUGCUAAGUGUUAGGGGGUUUCCGCCCCUUAGUGCUGCAGCUAACGCAUUAAGCACUCCGCCUGGGGAGUACGACCGCAAGGUUGAAACUCAAAGGAAUUGACGGGGACCCGCACAAGCGGUGGAGCAUGUGGUUUAAUUCGAAGCAACGCGAAGAACCUUACCAAAUCUUGACAUCCUUUGACAACUCUAGAGAUAGAGCUUUCCCCUUCGGGGGACAAAGUGACAGGUGGUGCAUGGUUGUCGUCAGCUCGUGUCGUGAGAUGUUGGGUUAAGUCCCGCAACGAGCGCAACCCUUAAGCUUAGUUGCCAUCAUUAAGUUGGGCACUCUAAGUUGACUGCCGGUGACAAACCGGAGGAAGGUGGGGAUGACGUCAAAUCAUCAUGCCCCUUAUGAUUUGGGCUACACACGUGCUACAAUGGACAAUACAAAGGGCAGCGAAACCGCGAGGUCAAGCAAAUCCCAUAAAGUUGUUCUCAGUUCGGAUUGUAGUCUGCAACUCGACUACAUGAAGCUGGAAUCGCUAGUAAUCGUAGAUCAGCAUGCUACGGUGAAUACGUUCCCGGGUCU